CGGCAGGCCUAACACAUGCAAGUCGAGCGGAUGAAGAGAGCUUGCUCUCUGAUUCAGCGGCGGACGGGUGAGUAAUGCCUAGGAAUCUGCCUGGUAGUGGGGGACAACGUCUCGAAAGGGACGCUAAUACCGCAUACGUCCUACGGGAGAAAGCAGGGGACCUUCGGGCCUUGCGCUAUCAGAUGAGCCUAGGUCGGAUUAGCUAGUUGGUGAGGUAAUGGCUCACCAAGGCGACGAUCCGUAACUGGUCUGAGAGGAUGAUCAGUCACACUGGAACUGAGACACGGUCCAGACUCCUACGGGAGGCAGCAGUGGGGAAUAUUGGACAAUGGGCGAAAGCCUGAUCCAGCCAUGCCGCGUGUGUGAAGAAGGUCUUCGGAUUGUAAAGCACUUUAAGUUGGGAGGAAGGGUUGUAGAUUAAUACUCUGCAAUUUUGACGUUACCGACAGAAUAAGCACCGGCUAACUCUGUGCCAGCAGCCGCGGUAAUACAGAGGGUGCAAGCGUUAAUCGGAAUUACUGGGCGUAAAGCGCGCGUAGGUGGUUUGUUAAGUUGGAUGUGAAAGCCCCGGGCUCAACCUGGGAACUGCAUUCAAAACUGACAAGCUAGAGUAUGGUAGAGGGUGGUGGAAUUUCCUGUGUAGCGGUGAAAUGCGUAGAUAUAGGAAGGAACACCAGUGGCGAAGGCGACCACCUGGACUGAUACUGACACUGAGGUGCG
RNAcentral lists this ribosomal RNA (720 nucleotides) under Pseudomonas putida. RNAcentral describes it as "bacterial SSU rRNA". It matches the Rfam family "Bacterial small subunit ribosomal RNA", at positions 40 to 755 of the family's 1533-position model. The record is from RNAcentral. Lineage: Bacteria; Pseudomonadati; Pseudomonadota; Gammaproteobacteria; Pseudomonadales; Pseudomonadaceae.